UAGCCUUGCGGCCGUACUCCCCAGGCGGAGAACUUAACGCGUUACUACGGCACAGCAGAGGUCAAUAUCCGCUGCACCUUAGUUCUCAUCGUUUACGGCGUGGACUACCAGGGUAUCUAAUCCUGUUUGCUCCCCACGCUUUCGCGUCUCAGCGUCAGUAAAUGUCCAGGUGGCCGCCUUCGCCACUGAUGUUCCUCCCGAUAUCUACGAAUUUCACCUCUACACCGGGAAUUCCGCCACCCUCUCCAUUACUCAAGACAAGCAGUUUCGGAUGCAGUUCCUAGGUUGAGCCCAGGGAUUUCACAACCGACUUGCGGGUCCGCCUACACGCGCUUUACGCCCAGUAAAUCCGAGCAACGUUUGCACCCUCCGUAUUACCGCGGCUGCUGGCACAGAGUUAGCCGGUGCUUGCUAAGGAGGUACCGUCAAGGCGCAACCAUUUCCUGAUGCGCUGUUUCGUCUCUCCCCACAGUGCUUUACGACCCGAAGCCUUCAUCACACACGCGGCGUGGCUGGGUCAGGCUUUCGCCCAUUGCCCAAUAUUCCUCA
Molecule: ribosomal RNA, 549 nt
Filed under: uncultured delta proteobacterium
Lineage: Bacteria; Deltaproteobacteria
Description: partial 16S ribosomal RNA
Source: RNAcentral